CCGAGUGGUGUGGAUGUUUAUUGGGCCUAAAGCAUCCGUAGCUGGCUAGGUAAGUCCCUUGUUAAAUCCACCGAAUUAAUCGUUGGAUCGCGGGGGAUACUGCUUGGCUAGGGGACGAGAGAGGCAGACGGUAUUUUCGGGGUAGGGGUGAAAUCCUAUAAUCCCGGGAAGACCACCAGUGGCGAAGGCUGUCGG
Molecule: ribosomal RNA, 195 nt
Filed under: uncultured crenarchaeote
Lineage: Archaea; Thermoproteati; Thermoproteota
Description: partial 16S ribosomal RNA
Rfam family: Archaeal small subunit ribosomal RNA
Source: RNAcentral